RNAcentral lists this ribosomal RNA (486 nucleotides) under uncultured bacterium. Its description in RNAcentral is "partial 16S ribosomal RNA". It matches the Rfam family "Bacterial small subunit ribosomal RNA", at positions 28 to 507 of the family's 1533-position model. The record is from RNAcentral.
GACGAACGCUGGCGGCGUGCUUAACACAUGCAAGUCGAACGCUGAAGACCUGGCUUUUGUUGGGUUGGAUGAGUGGCGGACGGGUGAGUAACACGUGAGUAACCUGCCCUCUUCUUUGGGAUAACGCCCGGAAACGGGUGCUAAUACUGGAUAUUAACUGGUCUUCGCAUGGGGGUUGGUGGAAAGGUUUGUUCUGGUGGGGGAUGGACUCGCGGCCUAUUAGCUUGGUGGUGGGUAGAUGGCCUACCUAGGCUUUGACGGGUAGCUGGCCUGAGAGGGUGACCGGUCACAUUGGGACUGAGGUACGGCCCAGAAUCCUGCGGGAGGCAGGAGUGGGGAAUAUUGGACAAAGGGCGAAAGCCUGAUGCAGCGACGCCGCGUGAGGGAUGGAGGCCUUCGGGUUGUAAACCUCUUUCGCUAAUGGUCAAGCCGCAACUGUGGGUUGUGGUGAGGGUAGUGGGUAAAGAAGCGCCGGCUAACUACGUG